UACAGAGGGGGCAAGCGUUGUUCGGAAUUACUGGGCGUAAAGGGCGCGUAGGCGGCCGCCUAAGUCAGACGUGAAAUCCCUCGGCUCAACCGGGGAACUGCGUCUGAUACUGGGUGGCUUGAAUCCGGGAGAGGGAUGCGGAAUUCCAGGUGUAGCGGUGAAAUGCGUAGAUAUCUGGAGGAACACCGGUGGCGAAGGCGGCAUCCUGGACCAACACUGACACUGAGGAGCGAAAGCCAGGGGAGCAAACGGG
Molecule: ribosomal RNA, 253 nt
Filed under: uncultured bacterium
Lineage: Bacteria
Description: partial 16S ribosomal RNA
Rfam family: Bacterial small subunit ribosomal RNA
Source: RNAcentral